RNAcentral lists this ribosomal RNA (500 nucleotides) under uncultured bacterium. RNAcentral's name for it is "partial 16S ribosomal RNA". It matches the Rfam family "Bacterial small subunit ribosomal RNA", at positions 28 to 505 of the family's 1533-position model. The record is from RNAcentral.
GACGAACGCUGGCGGCGUGCUUAACACAUGCAAGUCGAACGGUGAAGGGGCCUGCUUUUGUGGGCCCUGGAUGAGUGGCGAACGGGUGAGUAACACGUGAGUAACCUGCCCCCUUCUUCUGGAUAACCGCAUGAAAGUGUGGCUAAUACGGGAUAUUCUGGGUCUGUCGCAUGAUGGGUCUGGGAAAGAUUGCGCCUUUGGGUGUUUUUGGUGGGGGAUGGGCUCGCGGCCUAUCAGCUUGUUGGUGGGGUGAUGGCCUACCAAGGCGGUGACGGGUAGCCGGCCUGGGAGGGUGGACGGGCACACUGGGACUGAGACACGGCCCAGACUCCUACGGGAGGCAGCAGUGGGGAAUAUUGCACAAUGGGCGCAAGCCUGAUGCAGCGACGCCGCGUGAGGGAUGGAGGCCUUCGGGUUGUAAACCUCUGUCGCCAGUGAAGCAGGCCUGCUCCUUGUGGGUGGGUUGACGGUAGCUGGAUAAGAAGCGCCGGCUAACUACG